This 79-nucleotide long non-coding RNA is filed under the name Lynx canadensis (Canada lynx). Its description in RNAcentral is "lncRNA (ENSLCNG00005006438.1)". The record is from RNAcentral. Lineage: Eukaryota; Metazoa; Chordata; Mammalia; Carnivora; Felidae.
CCUCCCCGGCCGCUGGGGCGCCGUACGCCUGGCGACUAGCUAUGAUAGGAACCAGUAACAGUCACCAGACCAGAAUUUG